GGCAGGUAACCACUCACCUGCAGAGCGAAGGACUCUGUCUUCACAACCCUCUUCAGAAGAACAAUGAGGCAGCUAACCACUCACCUGCAGAGCGAAGGACUCUGUCUUCACAACCCUCUUCAGAAGAACAAUGAGGCAGGUAACCACUCACCUGCAGAGCGAAGGACUCUGUCUUCACAACCCUCUUCAGAAGAACAAUGAGGCAGCUAACCACUCACCUGCAG
Long non-coding RNA from Oncorhynchus keta (chum salmon), 224 nucleotides. RefSeq lists it as uncharacterized. Lineage: Eukaryota; Metazoa; Chordata; Actinopteri; Salmoniformes; Salmonidae. The transcript is spliced from 3 exons. The record is from RefSeq and is a predicted model, not a curated record.